GAUGAAGAACGCAGCGAAAUGCGAUAAGUAAUGUGAAUUGCAGAAUUCAGUGAAUCAUCGAAUCUUUGAACGCACAUUGCGCCCGCCAGUAUUCUGGCGGGCAUGCCUGUUCGAGCGUCAUUACAACCCUCAGGCCCCGGGCCUGGCGUUGGGGAACGGCGGAGCCCCCCGUGGGCACAUGCCGUCCCCCAAAUACAGUGGCGGUCCCGCGGCAGCUUCCAUCGCGUAGUAGCUAACACCUCGCGACUGGAGAGCGGCGCGGCCACGCCGUAAAACACCCAACUCUUCUGAAGUUGACCUCGAAUCAGGUAGGAAUACCCGCUGAACUUAAGCAUAUCAAUAAGCGGAGGA
Molecule: unclassified non-coding RNA, 351 nt
Filed under: soil metagenome
Description: partial contains 5.8S ribosomal RNA, internal transcribed spacer 2, and large subunit ribosomal RNA
Rfam family: 5.8S ribosomal RNA (bases 1-120)
Source: RNAcentral